CACGUAGGGCGCAAGCGUUGUCCGGAAUUAUUGGGCGUAAAGAGCUCGUAGGUGGUUUGUUACGUCUGCUGUGAAAACCUAGGGCUUAACCCUGGGCUUGCAGUGGAUACGGGCAGACUAGAGGUAGGUAGGGGAGAAUGGAAUUCCUGGUGUAGCGGUGAAAUGCGCAGAUAUCAGGAGGAACACCGGUGGCGAAGGCGGCUAACUGGUCCAGCACUGACGCUGAGGUGCGAAAGCGUGGGGAGCAAACAGG
This 253-nucleotide ribosomal RNA is filed under the name uncultured bacterium. Its description in RNAcentral is "partial 16S ribosomal RNA". It matches the Rfam family "Bacterial small subunit ribosomal RNA", at positions 524 to 776 of the family's 1533-position model. The record is from RNAcentral.